CAUUUACUGUUGAUGCAGAUGAACCCCACAUAAAGGAGAAGCCAACGAGACGGAGACCAGUACGGAAGAAGAUACGUCCCGUAAAAUUAAGAGACUUUACUGAAUUGUAAUUUUGUGAUUGUAAUUCUGUACAUUUGAUUAAGUUGUUGUUAAUUGUUAUUG
Limulus polyphemus (Atlantic horseshoe crab) is the source of this 162-nucleotide long non-coding RNA. RefSeq lists it as uncharacterized. The transcript has 3 exons. The record is from RefSeq and is a predicted model, not a curated record. Lineage: Eukaryota; Metazoa; Arthropoda; Merostomata; Xiphosura; Limulidae.